This 68-nucleotide transfer RNA is filed under the name Marmota monax (woodchuck). RNAcentral's name for it is "tRNA.Ala". Lineage: Eukaryota; Metazoa; Chordata; Mammalia; Rodentia; Sciuridae. The record is from RNAcentral.
GGUUUGUGGCUCAAUGGUAUAGCACUUGCCUGGCAUGUGUGAGGUGCUGAGUUCGAUCCUCAGCACCA